UGGGAGGUAGUGACAAUAAAUCACAAUGCGGAACAAUGUUUUGCAAUUGGAUUGAGAACAACGUACAAACCUUAUCGAUAAACAAUUGGAGGGCAAGUCUGGUGCCAGCAGCCGCGGUAAUUCCAGCUCCAAUAGCGUAUAUUAACGUUGUUGCAGUUAAAAAGCUCGUAGUUGAAGUGAAGAGUGGUGAUUGUUGUUCUACAUUCGUGUAGUUUCAUGAAUCAACACUCUCCCUCUAAAUCCAGUAUAUGAGUAUUAAUUUACUUGUAUACGUAUUUAGACAUUUACUGUGAGAAAAUUAGAGUGUUCAAAGCAGGCACUUGCUUGAAUAUAUUAGCAUGGAAUAAUAAUUGAAGGCUUUCGUGUUCGAUUUGAUUGGUUUGUUCAUGGAAGCAAGGUUAAAAGGAACAGUUGGGGGUAUUCAUAUUCACUAGUUAGAGGUGAAAUUCUCGGAUUUAUGGAAGAUGAACAAGUGCGAAAGCA
This 483-nucleotide ribosomal RNA is filed under the name Blastocystis sp. PR-4. RNAcentral's name for it is "bacterial SSU rRNA". It matches the Rfam family "Eukaryotic small subunit ribosomal RNA", at positions 458 to 953 of the family's 1831-position model. Lineage: Eukaryota; Bigyra; Opalinata; Blastocystidae. The record is from RNAcentral.